Oxyura jamaicensis (ruddy duck) is the source of this 1735-nucleotide long non-coding RNA. RefSeq lists it as uncharacterized. Lineage: Eukaryota; Metazoa; Chordata; Aves; Anseriformes; Anatidae. The transcript has 2 exons. The record is from RefSeq and is a predicted model, not a curated record.
CCAUUUUCAUCCUCAGUUCUUCAAUUUUCUGAAGGAUUUUAUUGCGCAGGCCUAGAGACUCUGAAAAGUUGUAUGUACAUGAAGUGAAAACACUGCAAUGUCAGGCAAAGAGGUCACGUCUUGCACUUGGUGGCUGUUGUGCCACAGGAGACACAGCUUUUCCCCACCCCCCCAUAUGGGAAAGUCCGCAGACACCCAGGCACCCUACAACCAGCUUAACAGCAGCCUGCUGCUGGCCUGCAACAAUUCUGUGGAGCAAUGAAAACAAACGGUAGAACAAAUGCAAAUGCAACACUGCUGCAAAUCCACAUCUACCUGGCAGAACAGUAUCUUUGCUGAUGCAUAGUAUGAUCACAUAUUCACCUUUAUUAUAAGUGAUAGCCUUGAGUGCCGAUUUAUGAAAUGAAAGCAUGCAGCACCAAGAAUAAAACCACAUAUCAGCCGUAGGUGUUCCAUUCUUUAUUUUCAUAAACAGUUUGAUUGUGUGUCUGCAAAAUUACCCUUCUAACAACCCCUUUGUUCCCAGAUAUUCUGUCAGUCUCCUAGCUAAGCUCAUUUCUGCUGCAUGACAAGUAUCGUACCCGUUCACUGCUUAGCUGUCUUUCGCCCACUGUACCAUGCCAGAAUGAGCGUUUACUUUCCAAAGGUACCAGAUAAAAAAACAUCAUCAACAAAACACCUUGUCAGAAGAGCCCUGAAAAAAAAUUGUCAAAAAAAAAUAUCUUAAAAUAACUUUUAACGUUACUUGUAGAAAAAAUAUUUUAGAAUAUCAACACAGCUUUAAACGGUUAAAACAUUUAAACUGAUAAUAAAUAUUGUUUUAAAUUUAACACAAGUCAUAUAAUGGCAAGAUCCAAAAUAAAAGUAGCCAUCACAGUGUAAAGAAUGAAUUAGAAGCCACAAAUGAUAGUCAUCUCUCUAAAUGCCUGAUGUGCUGCAGAACAACACUAUUGGUAAAGUGACUAUGUUUGCAGGGAUUAAAAAAAUAAUUACAGAUUAAAAAAACGAAUACAAUUAACUUACAUGAACUGAUUGCUUUUUUCCUGAGUUCACAAGACUGGUGUGCUCUUGCAGUCAAGCUAAAUGUAAGUAUAUACAAUUUCAGAACUAUAAUCUAUAGGACUUUCUUUAGCCUUCGGUUUAGCUUUUGUCAUAAAAAGUCAUUUACAUCUCUCCAUUACAAUACCCUAAACCUGCUGUACAAGUGUUGUCCUAUGUCUUACAAAGGGACAACUGAAGAAUGCCUGAGCUUGUGUUUAAGAUUUUUUUUUAAUUACAUUGCAGCUUUUCCCAUCUCUCUCUAAUCUAAAAAUACAACUAAAAGCACAAUUACAGUUAUGCUGCCUUGUUUUCUUUCAGACUGAUUAGUUCAAAGGGAUUCAUUUGUGAAUGAACAGAUAGAAUAACGACACAUCAGUGUCUCUAGUCAGCAUUAUCUGAUUAGCCUCAGCUGGUGAUUGGUGCAACAUAAUUUUAAGUUACUCCAAUGUUAAGGAAAAUGUAUACAGAAACGUAGAGCUGUGUGUCUUUCAUGGGUGUCAAUUCAUGACAGAUUCCCAGAAUCUCUGUUGAUUUCUCUGAUUUAACAAGGCUUGUUGAUGCACAGAAAUACUAUGAUCAGAUACAUACCAACACCAUGCACAUGCACACACAAAACAAUUAAUAAAGGACGGGAGCAGUCUGCCUACGAGGAAGAAUGCUAACUUCUAAAAAUAAAAAUGUAUUUUUAAAAAUG